RNAcentral lists this long non-coding RNA (341 nucleotides) under Citrus sinensis (sweet orange). RNAcentral describes it as "long non-coding RNA (CSIN_LNC005735)". Lineage: Eukaryota; Viridiplantae; Streptophyta; Magnoliopsida; Sapindales; Rutaceae. The record is from RNAcentral.
UAUAAUUAGCACAAUAUAAUCAUGUGUGCCAAAAGCAGCCCAACUCCCUAAGCACGCACACAAGUAGCCCCUGUCUCAGGCCUCACUCCUCAACAACCCUUCUCGCUUAGUGACAUGCACGAUGCUGGCAUAGAGCCUGCACAGUAGCAGCCGAGCACGGCAGCACCAAGCCACUAACAGCUCCUUUCUCUCUCAACUCACUCUCACACGCAUGCAGCAUUAAGCCAACAUCACCAACCCCCCUUUCUCUCGCGCUCGCUCUGACACUCCAUCUUCGUCACCAUAUCACCCUCUGGUCUUAACUAUUUGCCAUCGCAGCCUCUUUCAACUGUUGCGAUCUC